Molecule: long non-coding RNA, 1173 nt
Organism: Homo sapiens (human)
Lineage: Eukaryota; Metazoa; Chordata; Mammalia; Primates; Hominidae
Source: Ensembl
GGCGCCCACCGCCACACCUGGAUAAUUUUUGUUUUUUGUUUUUUUUUUUGAGACGGUGUCUCACUCUGUCGCCCAGGUUAGAGUGCAGUGGCACCAUCUCAGCUCACUGCAAGCUCCGCCUUCCAGGUUCAUGCCAUUCUCCUGCCUCAGGCUCUCGAGUAGCUGGGACUACAGGAGGCAGAGGUUGCAGUGAGCCGAGAUGGCGCCACUGCACUCCAGCCUGGGUGACAAGAGUGAGACUCCAUCUCAAAAAAACAAAACAAAACAAAACAACAACAACAAAAAAACCCAAAUCAAUCAGGAAUGUCACAUAUUUACAAAAAGGAACAGAAAUACUCACAUUUAGCAAAAACUUAUUUGUCCAUUAAUACUAUAAUCAAACAUGCAGAUUUUCUCGUAUUUUCUGUGCGGAUGGCAAGUUACAAAAAUGCUAUUAUCACAACUGUAGAAUGUCAAUCCUAGUUUAGAAACAGUAAUAAAACAGCACUUCAACAAGAGUGGACCGAGAAAGUGCACGACUUAGAAAAUUAUAAAAAAUGCUUCCUACAAAAAUGAUUCCCUUUAAGACAUUUGUUCACUGUACACAUUUUAAGGUCCCCUCUCCCACCCCCCAACAAAAAUAGAGGCAGAACCUCUAAGCACUUUCUAACAAAGUGUCCCCUGGUUUGUUCCUCUGACAAACCCUGACUGAAGGCUCAUGAUGUGCAGGCACUGGGGUCUCAAAGAGGAGAAAGACUUGUCCCUGCCUCACGGAUGCCUCAGUCUUCCCAAAGCAGGAGGCAGACAAGUCACCAACCGCUACGGAUGUAGAAUGGAUGUAUUAUACAUCCAUUAAAAGCAGAUGCCAAUGCCUUCUUAAAAUUAAACGAUAUGCUGCAAUUCCCACUGAAUUACUUAUACAAACCUCCUUACAUACAAGCUGUCCUGACUUACUAGGAAGCAAAAAUGCCACCACCUUCUCCUGAUAAAUACUUCUCUAAUGGGCAGGCAUUAAAUUACAUUUUGUGAUGUUUGCCCCUAAACAUCACAAUGCCUAGUGAAGUCAGUUAACUUUCUUUUAAGCAAUGGUGCCUAUUUUACUCUGAGAAUGAGACACUUUGAAACUAAGGAAGGAACCAGUCCUGUAUCUAGAUCAAGACUCAUCAGUACCAUCAAAAGCUGAGAUGAAACAGU